This 932-nucleotide long non-coding RNA is filed under the name Mytilus galloprovincialis (Mediterranean mussel). Lineage: Eukaryota; Metazoa; Mollusca; Bivalvia; Mytilida; Mytilidae. The record is from RNAcentral.
UUUUUGUCAAUAUAACAAAUCAAGGUCUAUUAAGAAAUUUGAUUAAAAUACAUAUGUCAUAGAUAUAAGAAGAUAUGGCAUGAGUAUACUAUGAGACAGCUCUCCAUCCAAGUCACAAUUUGUUAAAAAUAAAUCAUUAUAGGUCAAAGUAUGGCCUUGAACACAGAGCCUUGGCUUACACCAAACAGCAAGCUAUAAAGGUCCUAAAAAAUAACUAGUGUAAAACCAUGAUUAUUAAAUCUCAGGAGUAUAAACUUAUCAUGGGAGCUUAAGAGAUUACUAACAAUUUCAAUAAGAAAUUAAACUUAAAACUUAAAUGUGGAUAAACAUAUAGAGUGGGGUGCGCAUAUUCGCCGGGGACACAAUUUCGCCGUUUUAUAAUUUUGAGUUGUAAAUACUUCAAAAGAUGGCUGAAAUGGAAGAAAUAUGCCGGCAACUAAGAUUUUUAUAACAAAUAUGAUUUUAUUUUAAACUACGACAAAAUUGCGGCACUUAACGCAAAGGACCGAAAAUUGAAUAACGAUUUUCGACCAAUUUUCUGAAUGAAUAACACGAUUUCAAAGAAGUAUUUCUUAGUAAAUCUUUGACUGAUUGCCCUAAAUUUCAGUUCUGUACACCUUUAAAAUGUCUGCUAUUGCCAUCUAUAAUGAAAUUGAUUUGAAAAAUAUUGUUUAAAGCUACAGUUAUUUGGGUUAUAAAUAGAUGUAUAAAAACGGCGAAUAUGUGUCCCCAUUGACACAUCAGGCAAUUUCAAACACCCUUUAAUCUAACUUUUCAGAUGAUUAUUUUCAAACAAACACGUUUUCAAGCUUAAGAAUAUUUUGCAUUUGAAGUUAUCUUCAUGUAGAAAUAUCAGUAUACUUCAAAAACAUAUAGACCUGAACAUAAACUGUGGAAAACAUGGAAAGAUAUGGCGAAAAUGAGCACCCCAC